CGCGGCCUAUCAGCUUGUUGGUGGGGUAAUGGCCUACCAAGGCGACGACGGGUAGCCGGCCUGAGAGGGUGACCGGCCACACUGGGACUGAGACACGGCCCAGACUCCUACGGGAGGCAGCAGUGGGGAAUAUUGCACAAUGGGCGCAAGCCUGAUGCAGCGACGCCGCGUGGGGGAUGACGGCCUUCGGGUUGUAAACCUCUUUCACCAUCGGCGAAGCCGGGAGCUUUUGUUUCUGGUGACGGUAGGUGGAGAAGAAGCACCGGCCAACUACGUGCCAGCAGCCGCGGUAAUACGUAGGGUGCGAGCGUUGUCCGGAAUUACUGGGCGUAAAGAGCUCGUAGGUGGUUUGUCGCGUUGUCCGUGAAAUUCCCUGGCUUAACUGGGGGCGUGCGGGCGAUACGGGCAGACUGGAGUACUGCAGGGGAGACUGGAAUUCCUGGUGUAGCGGUGGAAUGCGCAGAUAUCAGGAGGAACACCGGUGGCGAAGGCGGGUCUCUGGGCAGUAACUGACGCUGAGGAGCGAAAGCGUGGGGAGCGAACAGGAUUAGAUACCCUGGUAGUCCACGCCGUAAACGGUGGGUACUAGGUGUGGGUUUCCUUCCUUGGGAUCCGUGCCGUAGCUAACGCAUUAAGUACCCCGCCUGGGGAGUACGG
Molecule: ribosomal RNA, 657 nt
Filed under: uncultured bacterium
Lineage: Bacteria
Description: bacterial SSU rRNA
Rfam family: Bacterial small subunit ribosomal RNA
Source: RNAcentral